RNAcentral lists this ribosomal RNA (573 nucleotides) under Caldanaerobacter subterraneus. Its description in RNAcentral is "partial 23S ribosomal RNA". It matches the Rfam family "Bacterial large subunit ribosomal RNA", at positions 1 to 576 of the family's 2925-position model. The record is from RNAcentral. Lineage: Bacteria; Bacillati; Bacillota; Clostridia; Thermoanaerobacterales; Thermoanaerobacteraceae.
GGGGUCAAGAGAGGUAAGGGCGCAUGGUGGAUGCCCAGGCACCUGGAGCCGAUGAAGGACGCGGCAAGCGGCGAAACGCCCCGGGGAGCCGCAAGCGGGCAGAGAUCCGGGGAUUUCCGAAUGGGGGAACCCGCUUGAGGUAAUACUCAAGCAUCCGCUGAUGAAUCCAUAGUCAGCGGAGGGGAACCGGGCGAACUGAAACAUCUAAGUAGCCCGAGGAAAAGAAAGCAAAAGCGAUUCCCUAAGUAGCGGCGAGCGAAAGGGGAGAAGCCCAAACCUACCGCUUAGGCGGUAGGGGUUCGGGCCCACCGGAAAAGUGUGCGAGUAGUCUAGGCGAACGGACCUGGAAAGGCCGGCCAAAGAGGGUGAAAGCCCCGUAGCCGAAAGGGGAAAGCGCACAGGUGGGUACCAGAGUACCACGGGAUAGGCGACCCUGUGGGAAGGCGGGAGGACCACCUCCUAAGGCUAAAUACUCCAAGUGACCGAUAGCGCAUAGUACCGUGAGGGAAAGGUGAAAAGAACCCCGGGAGGGGAGUGAAAGAGAACCUGAAACCAUGUGCCCACAAGCAGUCA